Molecule: long non-coding RNA, 435 nt
Filed under: Homo sapiens (human)
Lineage: Eukaryota; Metazoa; Chordata; Mammalia; Primates; Hominidae
Description: HSALNT0268697
Source: RNAcentral
CUGGCCUCAAGUGACCCUCCCUGGCUUCAGCCUCCCAAAGUAUUGAGAUUACAGUCAUGAGGUACCAUGCCCAGCCAGAAUUCUUUUUUUAUUUAUUUUAAUUUUAUUUAUUUUUAAGUUUUUAAACUUUUUAUUUGCAUAUUUAAAAAAUUGUGCAUUCCAAUAAUUAAAAUCAUUUGAACAACAAGAAAAAAAUGGCACUCUGAUUAAACUGCAUUACAGCCUGCAGGACACCUUGGGCCAGCUUGGUUUUACUUUAGAUUUCACUGUUGUCCCACCCCACUUCUUCCUUCACCAACAUGCAAGUUCUUUCCUUCCCUGCCAGCCAGAUAGACAGAUGGGAGAGGCAGUCGCGGCCUUCGUUGUCAGUAGUUCUUUGAUGUGAAAGGGGCAGCACAGUCAUUUAAACUUGAUCCAACCUCUUUGCAUCUUACA